RNAcentral lists this ribosomal RNA (646 nucleotides) under uncultured bacterium. RNAcentral describes it as "bacterial SSU rRNA". It matches the Rfam family "Bacterial small subunit ribosomal RNA", at positions 36 to 714 of the family's 1533-position model. The record is from RNAcentral.
CUGGCGGCGUGCCUAACACAUGCAAGUCGAACGAGAAAGUGGAGCAAUCCAUGAGUAAAGUGGCGACCGGGUGAGUAACACGUGACUAACCUACCCUCGAGUGGGGAAUAACUCCGGGAAACCGGGGCUAAUACCGCAUAACAUCGCAAGAUCAAAGCAGCAAUGCGCUUGAGGAGGAGGUCGCGGCUGAUUAGCUAGUUGGCGGGGUAACGGCCCACCGAGGCGAAGAUCGGUAUCCGGCCUGAGAGGGCGCACGGACACACUGGAACUGAAACACGGUCCAGACUCCUACGGGAGGCAGCAGUGGGGAAUUUUGCGCAAUGGGGGAAACCCUGACGCAGCAACGCCGCGUGGAGGAUGAAGCCCUUUGGGGCGUAAACUCCUUUCGACUCGGACGAUAAUGACGGUACGAGUGGAAGAAGCACCGGCUAACUCUGUGCCAGCAGCCGCGGUAAUACAGAGGGUGCGAGCGUUGUUCGGAAUUAUUGGGCGUAAAGGGCGCGUANGCGGUGCGGUAAGUCACCUGUGAAAUCUCCUGGCUUAACUGGGAGCCUGCAGGCGAAACUACCGUGCUGGAGUGUGGGAGAGGUGCGUGGAAUUCCCGGUGUAGCGGUGAAAUGCGUAUAUAUCGGGAGGAACACCUGUG